Molecule: ribosomal RNA, 428 nt
Filed under: Lactiplantibacillus plantarum
Lineage: Bacteria; Bacillati; Bacillota; Bacilli; Lactobacillales; Lactobacillaceae
Description: bacterial SSU rRNA
Rfam family: Bacterial small subunit ribosomal RNA
Source: RNAcentral
AAGGGUCUGAUGGAGCAACGCCGCGUGAGUGAAGAAGGGUUUCGGCUCGUAAAACUCUGUUGUUGAAGAAGAACAUAUCUGAGAGUAACUGUUCAGGUAUUGACGGUAUUUAACCAGAAAGCCACGGCUAACUACGUGCCAGCAGCCGCGGUAAUACGUAGGUGGCAAGCGUUGUCCGGAUUUAUUGGGCGUAAAGCGAGCGCAGGCGGUUUUUUAAGUCUGAUGUGAAAGCCUUCGGCUCAACCGAAGAAGUGCAUCGGAAACUGGGAAACUUGAGUGCAGAAGAGGACAGUGGAACUCCAUGUGUAGCGGUGAAAUGCGUAGAUAUAUGGAAGAACACCAGUGGCGAAGGCGGCUGUCUGGUCUGUAACUGACGCUGAGGCUCGAAAGUAUGGGUAGCAAACAGGAUUAGAUACCCUAGUAGUCAA